This 57-nucleotide transfer RNA is filed under the name Erinaceus europaeus (western European hedgehog). It matches the Rfam family "tRNA", at positions 9 to 63 of the family's 71-position model. Rfam says of the family: Transfer RNA (tRNA) molecules are approximately 80 nucleotides in length. Their secondary structure includes four short double-helical elements and three loops (D, anti-codon, and T loops). The record is from Rfam by way of RNAcentral. Lineage: Eukaryota; Metazoa; Chordata; Mammalia; Eulipotyphla; Erinaceidae.
GGCUCAGUAGUAGAGCUCAUGUCUUUCACACAUGAGGCCCUGGGUUUGAUCUCCCAA